This 726-nucleotide long non-coding RNA is filed under the name Sarcophilus harrisii (Tasmanian devil). RNAcentral's name for it is "lncRNA (ENSSHAG00000024331.1)". The record is from RNAcentral. Lineage: Eukaryota; Metazoa; Chordata; Mammalia; Dasyuromorphia; Dasyuridae.
AUUGAUUGUGCUUGUGGUGCUAUGCUGUUUGUUCAUCAAAAAGUAUCACCAGAGGAAGAUGGGAUUACGGUGCAGAUUGGACCUCUGAACCAUUCUUUUUAAAAAUGGAGGUUAGAUGGCAGAAACUGGCCCUACAAAUGGAAACAGGAAAUUGGGACCUAAAAAAAUUUUUUUUUUGGAAAAUAUCUAAGAUGCCCUGGACACAAAAGAGGAAGAAGGAAACGUUGAUAAGACUUUGACAAACAAGAUGAUUUCAUUGUAGACAACUUUGAGAAAAUGUUUAUAGUUCAAAUAGACCAGGUCAUAGCUCAAAGGUAUAUGCUGACUUCAAUUUUGUCUCAACCAGUUCUCCUGUUAUAUUUCCUCUUUAAAUUGAAACCAGAUAAUGAUUGGAUCAUGAGAUUUAUAACUAAAAGUAGCUUUAGAGGUCUUUGAAUCUAACCUACUUUAUAUAGAUAAGGAAACAGAAGUCCCAAAGAAAUUGUUAUUCCCCAAAAGUCAGACUUAAAACCCCAGCCUUCUGGCAUGUUUUCUUCUAUUCUAUGAAUGUAGAAUAAUGAAGAAGAUACUGGACAUUAAGAAAAACUAGGUUCAAUUCUUAUUUCCAGCAUUUUAUAGGUAUGUGAUCAUGAAUAAGUUUCUAAACUUGUUUUCUCAUCUGUUAAAAGUAGAUAGCAACAGAUCUGCAAUUUAAAUGAAAGAACAUAAAUAAAGAACUUUGUAAAG